AGGGAGAAGCCUUCGGGCUGAAACCGGCGCACGGGUGCGUAACGCGUAUACAAUCUGCCUUUCACAUAGGGAUAGCCCGAAGAAAUUUGGAUUAAUACCUAAUGGUAUAUAGGAGCGGCAUCGUUUUUAUAUUAAAGCUACGGUGGUGAAAGAUGAGUAUGCGUUCUAUUAGCUAGUUGGAGAGGUAACGGCUCCCCAAGGCGACGAUAGAUAGGGGUUCUGAGAGGGAUGUCCCCCACACUGGUACUGAGAUACGGACCAGACUCCUACGGGAGGCAGCAGUGAGGAAUAUUGGACAAUGGUCGGAAGACUGAUCCAGCCAUGCCGCGUGCAGGAUGAAGGUCCUAUGGAUUGUAAACUGCUUUUGUAAGGGAAGAAUAAGGGGUACGUGUACUUUGAUGACGGUACCUUACGAAUAAGCAUCGGCUAACUCCGUGCCAGCAGCCGCGGUAAUACGGAGGAUGCGAGCGUUAUCCGGAAUCAUUGGGUUUAAAGGGUCCGUAGGCGGGCUAAUAAGUCAGAGGUGAAAGCGUUCAGCUCAACUGAGCAACUGCCUUUGAAACUGUUAGUCUUGAAUGAUUGUGAAGUAGUUGGAAUGUGUAGUGUAGCGGUGAAAUGCUUAGAUAUUACACAGAACACCGAUAGCGAAGGCAUAUUACUAACAAUUUAUUGACGCUGAUGGACGAAAGCGUGGGGAGCGAACAGGAUUAGAUACCCUGGUAGUCCACGCUGUAAACGAUGGAUACUAGCUGUUUGGAGCGAUCUGAGUGGCUAAGCGAAAGUGAUAGUAUCCCACCUGGGGAGUACGCA
RNAcentral lists this ribosomal RNA (810 nucleotides) under uncultured Bacteroidota bacterium. RNAcentral's name for it is "bacterial SSU rRNA". It matches the Rfam family "Bacterial small subunit ribosomal RNA", at positions 65 to 886 of the family's 1533-position model. Lineage: Bacteria; Pseudomonadati; Bacteroidota. The record is from RNAcentral.